GGUUGCAUAGUGUAAUGGUUAUCACAUCGGAUUCUGAUCUUCUGAACAACUUCCGGUAAUCUGAGUUCGAUUCUCAGUGCGACCU
Gnomoniopsis sp. IMI 355080 is the source of this 85-nucleotide non-coding RNA. The record is from the annotation of a GenBank genome assembly. NCBI's taxonomy places the organism in Eukaryota, Fungi, Ascomycota, Sordariomycetes, Diaporthales, Gnomoniaceae.